CAUCAAUCAUCAUGAAAGGAGAUAGUGAAGUAAAGGGAAAAUAAUAACAGAAUAAUGAAAAAAAUACCACAAAACCAAAAAUGACUAACUUCACAUUGCUAUGAUUGCAAUACAGUCAUCCUUCGCUACUUUGUGGUUAAUUUAUCGCGGCCUCAGUACAUCGCGGAUUGUUCAAAAAUUCAAAAUUGAGGAAUUAUGGCACGAAAGUUGCCCGCACACCAGCAGAAGGCAGGGAGUGCCCACACAAUUCAAAAUCCACAUCUCUGAUUGGCUGCUAGCAUCCCGCCAUUUGAUAUCCCUCCCAACUCGGGAAUCUUGCAAGCUGAUUGACCUAGACAGUUUCCCCCACCUUUGCUCUCAUACCCAGCGAAGACGACCACACUCAUUUGAAUAAAAGAGUUCUAAAAACAUUUACAGUAUGUACACUUUAGUUACAUCUACGUAUGUUACACACACAUAUCAUAUUUAUAUCAUUUAUACAUUAUGUAUGUUAUUUAUACUAUUAAUAUUUUAUUUACAUGUUUGAAACUAUUCUUUAAUGUUCUAAUGAUAACAUAUGCACUUAUAUGGUUUCAUAUACACUUAUUGAUAUUAUACAUACACAAAAAAUGUACG
This 615-nucleotide long non-coding RNA is filed under the name Androctonus crassicauda. The record is from RNAcentral. Lineage: Eukaryota; Metazoa; Arthropoda; Arachnida; Scorpiones; Buthidae.